This 497-nucleotide ribosomal RNA is filed under the name uncultured bacterium. RNAcentral describes it as "partial 16S ribosomal RNA". It matches the Rfam family "Bacterial small subunit ribosomal RNA", at positions 28 to 507 of the family's 1533-position model. The record is from RNAcentral.
GAUGAACGCUGGCAGCGUGCCUAAUACAUGCAAGUCGAGCGAACGGACGAGAAGCUUGCUUCUCUGAUGUUAGCGGCGGACGGGUGAGUAACACGUGGAUAACCUACCUAUAAGACUGGGAUAACUUCGGGAAACCGGAGCUAAUACCGGAUAAUAUUUUGAACCGCAUGGUUCAAAAGUGAAAGACGGUCUUGCUGUCACUUAUAGAUGGAUCCGCGCUGCAUUAGCUAGUUGGUAAGGUAACGGCUUACCAAGGCAACGAUGCAUAGCCGACCUGAGAGGGUGAUCGGCCACACUGGAACUGAGACACGGUCCAGACUCCUACGGGAGGCAGCAGUAGGGAAUCUUCCGCAAUGGGCGAAAGCCUGACGGAGCAACGCCGCGUGAGUGAUGAAGGUCUUCGGAUCGUAAAACUCUGUUAUUAGGGAAGAACAUAUGUGUAAGUAACUGUGCACAUCUUGACGGUACCUAAUCAGAAAGCCACGGCUAACUACGUG